RNAcentral lists this unclassified non-coding RNA (380 nucleotides) under uncultured Gammaproteobacteria bacterium. RNAcentral's name for it is "contains 16S-23S intergenic spacer region". Lineage: Bacteria; Pseudomonadati; Pseudomonadota; Gammaproteobacteria. The record is from RNAcentral.
UCCGGUUUGUCACCGGCAGUCUCGCAUGAGUCCCCAACUAAAUGCUGGCAACAUGCGACGGGGGUUGCGCUCGUUGCGGGACUUAACCCAACAUCUCACGACACGAGCUGACGACAGCCAUGCAGCACCUGUGUUACGGCUCCCUUUCGGGCACCCCUCCAUCUCUGGAGGGUUCCGUACAUGUCAAGGGUAGGUAAGGUUUUUCGCGUUGCAUCGAAUUAAUCCACAUAAUCCACCGCUUGUGCGGGCCCCCGUCAAUUCCUUUAAGUUUUAGUCUUGCGACCGUACUCCCCAGGCGGAUCACUUAACGCGUUAGCUACGACACCAAUCCGGCAAAGCCAGACUGACGUCUAGUGAUCAUCGUUUACGGCGUGGACUAC